RNAcentral lists this small RNA (648 nucleotides) under uncultured fungus. Its description in RNAcentral is "eukaryotic LSU rRNA". The stretch from base 212 to 366 matches the Rfam family "5.8S ribosomal RNA". Lineage: Eukaryota; Fungi. The record is from RNAcentral.
GGAAGGAUCAUUACAGAAUCGUCAACGGGUUGUUGCUGGUCCUCGAACGGGGACAUGUGCACGCUCUGUUUACACAUCCACUCACACCUGUGCACCCUCCGUAGUUCUGUGGUCUGGGGGACCCUGUCUUCCUGCCGUGGUUCUACGUCUUUACACACACACUGUAAUAAAGUCUUAUGGAAUGUAUGCCGCGUCUAACGCAAUACAAUACAACUUUCAGCAACGGAUCUCUUGGCUCUCGCAUCGAUGAAGAACGCAGCGAAAUGCGAUAAGUAAUGUGAAUUGCAGAAUUCAGUGAAUCAUCGAAUCUUUGAACGCACCUUGCGCCCCUUGGCUAUUCCGAGGGGCAUGCCUGUUUGAGUAUCAUGAACACCUCAACUCUCAUGGUUCGCCGUGAUGAGCUUGGACUCUGGGGGUUUUGCUGGCCUGCGGUCGGCUCCCCUCAAAUGAAUCAGCCUCCCAGUGUUUGGUGGCAUCACGGGUGUGAUAAAUAUCUACGCUCGCGGUUGUCUGCCAGGUAACCUUUGGCGACAAAGGUUCGCUGGAGCUCACAGAUGUCUCUCCUCGGCGAGGACAGCUUUUUGAACGUUCGAUCUCAAAUCAGGUAGGACUACCCGCUGAACUUAAGCAUAUCAAUAAGCGGAGGAA